Molecule: ribosomal RNA, 270 nt
Filed under: uncultured bacterium
Lineage: Bacteria
Description: partial 16S ribosomal RNA
Rfam family: Bacterial small subunit ribosomal RNA
Source: RNAcentral
AUUGAACGCUGGCGGCAUGCCUUACACAUGCAAGUCGAGCGGCAGCGCGGGGGCAACCCUGGCGGCGAGCGGCGAACGGGUGAGUAAUACAUCGGAACGUGUCCUGUCGUGGGGGAUAACCAGUCGAAAGACUGGCUAAUACCGCAUGAGAUCGAAAGAUGAAAGCGGGGGACCGCAAGGCCUCGCGCGAUUGGAGCGGCCGAUGUCGGAUUAGCUAGUUGGCGGGGUAAAAGCCCACCAAGGCGACGAUCCGUAGCUGGUUUGAGAGAA